AUGACCCUCUGCAAGUGCUUGGGCCAACUCUGACCAGGCUGACCAGCUGCAUCCCCUGCCUCUACCCACGCCAGGUACAAGAUGGUCAUUGAAGCCUGCUCUCUGCAGCCAGACAUCGACAUCCUGCCCCAUGGAGACCAGACCCAGAUUGGGGAACGGGGCAUCAACCUGUCUGGUGGUCAACGCCAGCGAAUCAGUGUGGCCCGAGCCCUCUACCAGCAUGCCAAUGUCGUCUUCUUGGAUGACCCCUUCUCAGCUCUGGAUAUCCAUCUGAGUGACCACUUAAUGCAGGCCGGCAUCCUUGAGCUGCUCCGGGACGACAAGAGGACAGUGGUCCUAGUGACCCACAAGCUACAGUACCUGCCCCAUGCAGACUGGAUCAUUGCCAUGAAGGAUGGCACCAUCCAGAGGGAGGGUACCCUCAAGGACUUCCAGAGGUCUGAGUGCCAGCUCUUUGAGCACUGGAAGACCCUCAUGAACCGACAGGACCAAGAGCUGGAGAAGGAGACUGUCACAGAGAGAAAAGCCACAGAGCCACCCCAGGGCCUAUCUCGUGCCAUGUCCUCGAGGGAUGGCCUUCUGCAGGAUGAGGAAGAGGAGGAAGAGGAGGCAGCUGAGAGCGAGGAGGAUGACAACCUGUCGUCCGUGCUGCACCAGCGUGCUGAGAUCCCAUGGCGAGCCUGCGCCAAGUACCUGUCCUCCGCUGGCAUCCUGCUUCUGUCACUGCUGGUCUUCUCACAGCUGCUCAAGCACAUGGUCCUGGUGGCCAUCGACUACUGGCUGGCCAAGUGGACCGACAGCGCCCUGACCCUGACCCCUGCAGCCAGGAACUGCUCCCUCAGCCAGGAGUGCACCCUCGACCAGACUGUCUACGCCAUGGUGUUCACGGUGCUCUGCAGCCUGGGCAUUGUGCUGUGCCUCGUCACGUCUGUCACUGUGGAGUGGACAGGGCUGAAGG
This 958-nucleotide small RNA is filed under the name Pongo abelii (Sumatran orangutan). RNAcentral describes it as "retained intron". Lineage: Eukaryota; Metazoa; Chordata; Mammalia; Primates; Hominidae. The record is from RNAcentral.